RNAcentral lists this ribosomal RNA (1307 nucleotides) under uncultured bacterium. RNAcentral describes it as "bacterial SSU rRNA". It matches the Rfam family "Bacterial small subunit ribosomal RNA", at positions 28 to 1381 of the family's 1533-position model. The record is from RNAcentral.
AACGUACGCUGGCGGCACGCCUAACACAUGCAAGUCGAACGAAGUAGCAAUACUUAGUGGCAGACGGGUGAGUAACAUGUAGGUAUCUGCCCUUUGGCCUGGAAUAACACGAGGAAACUUGUGCUAAUACCGGAUAAGUCUUUACGGAGAAAGCUUUAUGCACCAUUGGAUGAGCCUGCACUUGAUUAGUUUGUUGGUGGGGUAAUGGCCUACCAAGACUGUGAUCAAUAGCUGAUUUGAGAGGAUGAUCAGCCACAUUGGGACUGAGACACGGCCCAAACUCCUACGGGAGGCAGCAGUGGGGAAUCUUGCACAAUGGAGGAAACUCUGAUGCAGCGAUGCCGCGUGAGUGAAGAAGGCCCUUGGGUUGUAAAGCUCUUUCGUCGGGGAAGAAAAUGACUGUACCCGAAUAAGAAGGUCCGGCUAACUUCGUGCCAGCAGCCGCGGUAAUACGAAGGGACCUAGCGUAGUUCGGAAUUACUGGGCUUAAAGAGUUCGUAGGUGGUUGAAAAAGUUAGUGGUGAAAUCCCAGAGCUUAACUCUGGAACUGCCAUUAAAACUUUUCAGCUAGAGUAUGAUAGAGGAAAGCAGAAUUUCUAGUGUAGAGGUGAAAUUCGUAGAUAUUAGAAAGAAUACCAAUUGCGAAGGCAGCUUUCUGGAUCAUUACUGACACUGAGGAACGAAAGCAUGGGUAGCGAAGAGGAUUAGAUACCCUCGUAGUCCAUGCCGUAAACGAUGUGUGUUAGACGUUGGAAAUUUAUUUUCAGUGUCGCAGGGAAACCGAUAAACACACCGCCUGGGGAGUACGACCGCAAGGUUAAAACUCAAAUGAAUUGACGGGGACCCGCACAAGUAGUGGAGCAUGUGGUUUAAUUCGAAGAUACGCGCAGAACCUUACCAACACUUGACAUGUUCGUCGCGACUCUAAGAGAUUAGAGUUUUCGGUUCGGCCGGACGAAACACAGGUGCUGCAUGGCUGUCGUCAGCUCGUGUCGUGAGAUGUUGGGUUAAGUCCCGCAACGAGCGCAACCCUCACUUUUAGUUGCCAUCAAUUAAGUUGGGCACUCUGAAAGAACUGCCAGUGAUAAGCUGGAGGAAGGUGGGGAUGACGUCAAGUCCUCAUGGCCCUUACGUGUUGGGCUACACACGUGCUACAAUGGUAUCUACAACAGGAAGCAAGACUGCGAAGUUAAGCAAAUCCCUAAAAGAUACCUCAGUUCGGAUUGCACUCUGCAACUCGAGUGCAUGAAGCUGGAAUUACUAGUAAUCGUGGAUCAGCGUGCCACGGUGAAUGCGUUCCCGGGUCU